GUUUGAUCCUGGCUCAGAACGAACGCUGGCGGCAGGCUUAACACAUGCAAGUCGAGCGAGACCUUCGGGUCUAGCGGCGGACGGGUUAGUAACGCGUGGGAACGUGCCCUUUACUACGGAAUAGUCCCGGGAAACUGGGUUUAAUACCGUAUACGCCCUUCGGGGGAAAGAUUUAUCGGUAAAGGAUCGGCCCGCGUUAGAUUAGAUAGUUGGUGGGGUAAUGGCCUACCAAGUCUACGAUCUAUAGCUGGUUUGAGAGGAUGAUCAGCAACACUGGGACUGAGACACGGCCCAGACUCCUACGGGAGGCAGCAGUGGGGAAUCUUAGACAAUGGGCGCAAGCCUGAUCUAGCCAUGCCGCGUGAGUGACGAAGGCCUUAGGGUCGUAAAGCUCUUUCGCCAGGGA
This 406-nucleotide ribosomal RNA is filed under the name uncultured prokaryote. RNAcentral's name for it is "bacterial SSU rRNA". It matches the Rfam family "Bacterial small subunit ribosomal RNA", at positions 11 to 445 of the family's 1533-position model. The record is from RNAcentral.